GACGAACGCUGGUGGCGUGCCUAAUACAUGCAAGUCGAGCGGACCAAUAGAAGCUUGCUUCUGUUGGUUAGCGGCGGACGGGUGAGUAACACGUGGGCAACCUGCCUGUAAGACUGGGAUAACUUCGGGAAACCGGAGCUAAUACCGGAUAAUUCAUCCCCUCGCAUGAGGGGAUGCUGAAAGUCGGUUUACGCUGACACUUACAGAUGGGCCCGCGGCGCAUUAGCUAGUUGGUGAGGUAAUGGCUCACCAAGGCGACGAUGCGUAGCCGACCUGAGAGGGUGAUCGGCCACACUGGGACUGAGACACGGCCCAGACUCCUACGGGAGGCAGCAGUAGGGAAUCGUCCACAAUUGACGAAAGUCUGAUGGAGCAACGCCGCGGGAGCGAUGAAGGCCUUCGGGUCGUAAAGCUCUGUUGUUAGGGAAGAACAAGUAUCGGAGUAACUGCCGGUACCUUGACGGUACCUAACCAGAAAGCCACGGCUAACUACGUGCCAGCCGCCGCGGUAU
This 512-nucleotide ribosomal RNA is filed under the name uncultured bacterium. RNAcentral's name for it is "partial 16S ribosomal RNA". It matches the Rfam family "Bacterial small subunit ribosomal RNA", at positions 28 to 523 of the family's 1533-position model. The record is from RNAcentral.